Long non-coding RNA from Bombus terrestris (buff-tailed bumblebee), 380 nucleotides. RefSeq lists it as uncharacterized. The record is from RefSeq and is a predicted model, not a curated record. The transcript has 2 exons. NCBI's taxonomy places the organism in Eukaryota, Metazoa, Arthropoda, Insecta, Hymenoptera, Apidae.
CGAUAUCACUUUUAUGUCAGCUCGGUGAAACAACCUUUAUUCAUUAGUCGAUUCCGAUAGAUAAUGAAACGAGUAACUGUGUGGAAACUUAUACACUGCUUAUACUUUCCAGGAAUAAUAAAAAUAAAAUCGAAAAGAAUGAAAUGGAAUAUGGGUGCAUGUAAAAGGGAUCCAUUCCAGGAAUGGAAGACAAUGGACCUUGUUCAUGACCUUGCAAAAUAGUGUAAAUUGGACCAAGAUUCAAAUGUGCCACUAAUGAACUGGCUUGCUCUGAUGUAAGAGUGUCAAUUUGUGCAUCAGAUUGUGCCUGAAAAAUGUCAUUUUAUCAAUAUCGAUAUAAAAUGUAUAAAAAGUUGGUAAAUUAGAACACAUCAAUUGUA